RNAcentral lists this transfer RNA (74 nucleotides) under Verrucomicrobiales bacterium. RNAcentral's name for it is "tRNA-Phe". It matches the Rfam family "tRNA". From Rfam's summary of the family: Transfer RNA (tRNA) molecules are approximately 80 nucleotides in length. Their secondary structure includes four short double-helical elements and three loops (D, anti-codon, and T loops). The record is from RNAcentral. Lineage: Bacteria; Pseudomonadati; Verrucomicrobiota; Verrucomicrobiia; Verrucomicrobiales. RNAcentral also lists the same sequence under 1 other name.
GGCUGAAUAGCUCACGCAGGAGAGCACACGCCUGAAGAGCGUGAGGGAAGGGUGCAACUCCCUGUCAGCCACCA